This 1360-nucleotide ribosomal RNA is filed under the name Bacillus sp. (in: firmicutes). Its description in RNAcentral is "bacterial SSU rRNA". The record is from RNAcentral. Lineage: Bacteria; Bacillati; Bacillota; Bacilli; Caryophanales; Bacillaceae.
AUGGGAGCUUGCUCCCUGAUGUUAGCGGCGGACGGGUGAGUAACACGUGGGUAACCUGCCUGUAAGACUGGGAUAACUCCGGGAAACCGGGGCUAAUACCGGAUGCUUGUUUGAACCGCAUGGUUCAAACAUAAAAGGUGGCUUCGGCUACCACUUACAGAUGGACCCGCGGCGCAUUAGCUAGUUGGUGAGGUAAUGGCUCACCAAGGCAACGAUGCGUAGCCGACCUGAGAGGGUGAUCGGCCACACUGGGACUGAGACACGGCCCAGACUCCUACGGGAGGCAGCAGUAGGGAAUCUUCCGCAAUGGACGAAAGUCUGACGGAGCAACGCCGCGUGAGUGAUGAAGGUUUUCGGAUCGUAAAGCUCUGUUGUUAGGGAAGAACAAGUACCGUUCGAAUAGGGCGGUACCUUGACGGUACCUAACCAGAAAGCCACGGCUAACUACGUGCCAGCAGCCGCGGUAAUACGUAGGUGGCAAGCGUUGUCCGGAAUUAUUGGGCGUAAAGGGCUCGCAGGCGGUUUCUUAAGUCUGAUGUGAAAGCCCCCGGCUCAACCGGGGAGGGUCAUUGGAAACUGGGGAACUUGAGUGCAGAAGAGGAGAGUGGAAUUCCACGUGUAGCGGUGAAAUGCGUAGAGAUGUGGAGGAACACCAGUGGCGAAGGCGACUCUCUGGUCUGUAACUGACGCUGAGGAGCGAAAGCGUGGGGGAGCGAACAGGAUUAGAUACCCUGGUAGUCCACGCCGUAAACGAUGAGUGCUAAGUGUUAGGGGGUUUCCGCCCCUUAGUGCUGCAGCUAACGCAUUAAGCACUCCGCCUGGGGGAGUACGGUCGCAAGGACUGAAAACUCAAAGGAAUUGACGGGGGGCCCGCACAAGCGGUGGRGCAUGUGGUUUAAUUCGAAGCAACGCGAAGAACCUUACCAGGUCUUGACAUCCUCUGACAAUCCUAGAGAUAGGACGUCCCCUUCGGGGGCAGAGUGACAGGUGGUGCAUGGUUGUCGUCAGCUCGUGUCGUGAGAUGUUGGGUUAAGUCCCGCAACGAGCGCAACCCUUGAUCUUAGUUGCCAGCAUUCAGUUGGGCACUCUAAGGUGACUGCCGGUGACAAACCGGAGGAAGGUGGGGAUGACGUCAAAUCAUCAUGCCCCUUAUGACCUGGGCUACACACGUGCUACAAUGGACAGAACAAAGGGCAGCGAAACCGCGAGGUUAAGCCAAUCCCACAAAUCUGUUCUCAGUUCGGAUCGCAGUCUGCAACUCGACUGCGUGAAGCUGGAAUCGCUAGUAAUCGCGGAUCAGCAUGCCGCGGUGAAUACGUUCCCGGGCCUUGUACACACCGCCCGUCACACCACGAGAGUU